This 256-nucleotide ribosomal RNA is filed under the name uncultured bacterium. RNAcentral's name for it is "partial 16S ribosomal RNA". It matches the Rfam family "Bacterial small subunit ribosomal RNA", at positions 524 to 776 of the family's 1533-position model. The record is from RNAcentral.
GACGUAGGUGGCGAACGUUAUCCGGAAUUAUUGGGCGUAAAGGGCGCGUAGAUGGCCUGACAAGUUAGCAGUGGGAAAUCGAGGCUCAACCUCGUGGAAGCUGGUAAUACUGUCUGGCUCGAGUGCAGGAGAGGUUAACGGAACUCCAUGUGGAGCGGUAAAAUGCGUAGAUAUAUGGAAGAACACCAAUAACGGCGAAGGCAGUUAACUAUUCUGCUACUGACAUUGAGGCACGAAAGCGUGGGGAGCAAAAAGG